AAGAGAACAUUCAUUUGCGGCAUAUGAAUUUGUAAUGUCAGAGUUUAUUUCGGAAUAGUAUCUCAUUAUUCGAACGGUCGCCAUUAUUAAAGACAAAAGGAGGUUAAGACCCGGCGAAUUAUGUAUAACAAUAUUUGUAGUGGCAGCAACAGUGGUGCAGACGGUGGAUGGCGUCGGCAGGAUAGCGGACUCUCUCGGACGUAAUGGAUAUUCCGACGAAGGACUGUUAAAGUUUUCAAAUAUUCAUAUGCACGAUAUAAUCAUAAUAAUAUAUAUCAGGUGCGGGUGU
This is a non-coding RNA of Cinara cedri, 289 nucleotides long. The record is from the annotation of a GenBank genome assembly. Lineage: Eukaryota; Metazoa; Arthropoda; Insecta; Hemiptera; Aphididae.